This 486-nucleotide ribosomal RNA is filed under the name uncultured bacterium. RNAcentral's name for it is "bacterial SSU rRNA". It matches the Rfam family "Bacterial small subunit ribosomal RNA", at positions 8 to 518 of the family's 1533-position model. The record is from RNAcentral.
AGAAUUGAUCUGGUUCAGGACGAACGCUGGCGGCGUGCUUCAUACAUGCAAGUCGAACGAGAAUCUCACUUCGGUGAGAGGAAAGUGGCGGACGGGUGAGUAAUGUGUAGAGAAUCUGCCCUAGAGUGAGGGACAACAGAGGGAAACUUCUGCUAAUACCUCAUAUGCGCGUAGCUGAGAUGCUAUUCGUGAAAACUCCGGUGCUCUGGGAUGAGUCUGCAUCUGAUUAGCUAGUUGGGGGUGUAAUGGACCACCAAGGCGACGAUCAGUAGCUGGUUUGAGAGGAUGAUCAGCCACAAUGGGACUGAGACACGGCCCAUACUCCUACGGGAGGCAGCAGUAGGGAAUUUUGCGCAAUGGGGGAAACCCUGACGCAGCAACGCCGCGUGAACGAAAAGCCCUUCGGGGUGUAAAGUUCUGUCAGUGGGGACGAAACUUGACGGUACCCACAGAGGAAGCAUCGGCUAACUCCGUGCCAGCAGCUGC